Daktulosphaira vitifoliae (grape phylloxera) is the source of this 358-nucleotide long non-coding RNA. RefSeq lists it as uncharacterized. The record is from RefSeq and is a predicted model, not a curated record. NCBI's taxonomy places the organism in Eukaryota, Metazoa, Arthropoda, Insecta, Hemiptera, Phylloxeridae. The transcript is spliced from 3 exons.
GACAAAUAUCAAAAAAUUCAUCUAAAGAUGGAAGAAUUAUCCCAAUUAUUAAUAAAAAUAUUUAUCCUAUAACAAAUUCCAUUAUUCCAAAAAAACGCACGUAUCGAAAAACGAAUAAAAAUGAUAAAAUUAUUCCAGAAAAAUUGAGUUUUCAUAAGAAAAUUUUGGAACGCAAAAAUUCCGAAAUAAAAAAACAACUCUUUGAGAUAUCUUCUAAUACUUCUGCUCGACCAAAUUUAAAAAGACAUUCACCCGAAGAAGAUGAAAAAGUCAUAAAAAGUAUACAACUUUUAAAAUAUAAUUCAUUUUUAAAAAAUAAUAUAAUAAACGUUUUGAUUUUUGAAACAAAUAUGUAAUA